Molecule: long non-coding RNA, 2287 nt
Organism: Entelurus aequoreus (snake pipefish)
Lineage: Eukaryota; Metazoa; Chordata; Actinopteri; Syngnathiformes; Syngnathidae
Exons: 3
Source: RefSeq, a predicted model, not a curated record
GCCAUUCGCGGUUCCUCAGCGUCUGUCGGUGUGUGUUAGCCAUCGUUUGAUUCCGGGGCGACCGCAAAUGCCCCCCACGGACACAAACUGUCCUCUGUGGCGCAAUGACUCGUUCCAACGCCGCAGGAGAAGGUCACAGCGCCACCCUGGAGGGAUAUGAGUCGUACUCCUCGCUAAUCUGCACACUGAACACGACGGCAGGGGGAGGACUUGUAAGAAUCAAAUCAACCUUUUAAGGCCGCUUUAUGGGCGAUGCUUGGCUCUAACAAGCGGCUUUUGAAGCGGAUGAAUCUGUAUUAAAAUGCCGGAAUGUGCGCACUGAAGGGAGAAAACCACAGCACUGGAAGAAGAAGACCAAAGAAGGCAUUGAAGGGAGAUCAAAGCUGAGGUCAGGAGAAAUGUUCUGAGGUCCUGUUUCCAUGCCAGUGCAGAAUGAUGCCGCCAAACCGGCUGUGCCAUAGCUGAGUAGCUCAACUUUCCAUCGCUGAUGUUCUCUUUCUUGCUUCUCCCCCUCUAAACCUUCCUGUGUGUGCACCUCGAAAAAAUAUUAACUGUGAAGGCUGUGAUUUGUCAAUUUGUACUCGGACAAUACUUGCUUUGUGUCUGGUUCAGAGUGUGUACGGACUAGGGCUGGGUGAUAAAAUGGUAUUAAUAUAUGUUGCGAUAGACACAAAAUCGAUUAUCAAUAAAAAAAUGCAUUCGAUAAAACGUUCUAUUAUUUUUUUUCUUUUCUUCUUCGAAAGAAACCGGAAGUUGCAAGGCAACCUCUGCUGCGAACACAUCCUGGUUUGGCACCAUCAUUGUCUCAAAGUGUCUCUGUCAAAAAAAGAGAAAAUUGGACGCGGAGUGGACCUCAACCCUCUUGAAAAGGUCUCUCUUUUCAGGAUCCUCGUAUGUGAGUGACCCGGAACAACAGAAAAAGAAGAAUGCAAAGAAUGGUGUCAGUGUCGUCAAAACAAUUUGGUCACGGUAGAAGGUUCCCUCUUAUUUUUUAAUGCCCAGAAACAUGGAAAGUGACACAUUUUAUUGGUUCUGUAUUGAGCAGGUAAACGUCGCUCUUCUUCUUCUUCUUCUUCAACCAUAUCUCCAAACAUUGAAUGGGGAAUAGAGAGAAGGGUUUUCCGCUCACUGUUUUAAUUCCUAUUUUUGAUUUUCAAACACAUUAAUAAAACCGGAUAAUGGUUAAUGAUCCAUUUGACAUUUAAAACAAAAAAACUGGAUUUUUAUGUAAAAUAAUUGUUCUAUUCCAAACGAAAAACGGACGGUCGCAACGUACACUGACCGUAUUUGAUACUGAGAAAAAGGUUUUAUUAUUCAUUAUCUAUUUAACAUUUUAUUCAAUCCCAGAUAGGCUUUGCCUUAAAGUUGAAUGGCUUUGUAGAUACAUUGAGAGAGAGUCUAAGUUCAACAUGUCCAUAGUUGUGUUUUUAAAACUGCACCAAUUUUUUUUUCUUUUAAAUUUUCAACUAACUUGACGUGUUUUGUCAAGAGUAUUAUCUGUGAUAUGAACAUUUUCACAAAGAAAACUAUCUGAAGUUGCCUUUAUUUUUAAGUUAGUAUGUCAUGAUUUUACCCCUUGGAAAUAGAUUGUCCUCCUUGCGGCCCCUGACCUAGGCUUUAUUUGAGACUGAUUCUACCAUGAAUUUAUUAACUUGGACCCCGACUUAAACAAGUUGAAAAACGUAUUCAGGUGUUACCAUUUAGUGGUCAAUUGUACAGAAUAUGUACUGUACUGUGCAAUCUACUAAUACAAGUCUCAAUCAAUCAAUCAAAUCAACAGCACCUCUGCUGGUUACAGCCAAGUAUUAAAUUCCAUUAAGCCUUUCAACUCUCAAGCCAAUUUCCUUUCAAAUAUCUGCCAAAUAGCACAGAAUAGGAACACCAAACUACAAAAUAACAUCCCGUGACCACUCUGAAGAAUGUAAACAGAGGCAGCAUUGUGAUGGUGCUGUUAGCAUUAGCUCCUCCACGCCUCCCUGUUAGCUUGUUAGUUCCAUCCCAUGACUAUGUCAGUCAAAAUAGCCUGCAUUAAAACAACAACAGGGUUUAGAGUUAUGUCACCAACUGCAUUUUUCAGAAGGAAACCGUUGAAAAAUAUCCAACUCUCUAAAAGUUCUCAACCUGCUCUGUUUGUGCAACAUUCCGUAAGGCAUUCCUCUCUUGUUUGUGGGCAUCGUUCUCCCACCGUGACUCAUCGGGAUUCUCCUCAUUCCCUCUUCCUCCGCACCCUCCUCUCACUGCCUUGCUCACAUUCCAGUUGAGAUCCCGAUGUUCUUAAAAAGCCUAG